UCUGCUAUCAUUUUCAAGUUUACUAUCCAUGGUGGUCACAGAGUUUAUUAAAUAGAGAGGGUCUGUAUACUAUAUCAAUGACCACCAUGGAUCGAUUAGAAAACUUAGAAUUGAAAGUAAAUACACUUUAUUUAUAUAGUGAAUGUUCAUAAUAUACAGAUAAGCGCUAAAAUUAUUCAUGUGCACUUUUGAUACCUUUUCUGAAAUUCUCCAGUCAUUAAAUCUUAAAUUACAAAAUUCAUUGAUUACAAAAAAAAGAAGAUGUGGUAUGAUUGCCAUGUUGACAACUCUCCACAAGAGACCAAAAUGACACAGAAAUUAACAACUAUAGGUUAUCGUACGGCCUUCAACAACGAGCAAAGACCAUACCGCAUACUCAGCUUUAAAAGGCACCGAAAUGAAAAUGUAAAACAAUUCAAACGAGAAAACUAGCGGCCUUAUUUAUGUACAAACAAUGAACGAAAAACAAAUAUGUAACGCAUAAACAAACGACAACCACUGAAGUACAGGCUCCUUACUUAAAUGUUCAUAACAUACUAAAUGUAUAUUCAUAUUGAUAUUGAUAGAAAACCACACAUUGGGAAUUUUGGAAAUAAAGGAGGAGGGAUUAAAAAAAAAUUUUCCUGUCC
Molecule: long non-coding RNA, 629 nt
Filed under: Mytilus galloprovincialis (Mediterranean mussel)
Lineage: Eukaryota; Metazoa; Mollusca; Bivalvia; Mytilida; Mytilidae
Source: RNAcentral